This is a long non-coding RNA of Aedes albopictus (Asian tiger mosquito), 5582 nucleotides long. RefSeq lists it as uncharacterized. Lineage: Eukaryota; Metazoa; Arthropoda; Insecta; Diptera; Culicidae. The record is from RefSeq and is a predicted model, not a curated record. The transcript is spliced from 2 exons.
UUGUCAAUUAAAAAAAGGAGUUGGCAAUCAAUUCGAACAAAAUUGCUAAACAGUUUGUAUGGAUAAAGUAAUAGAAAUUGAAGAAUUAGAAAAUCCGUGCUUUCUCAUCAACUAUUUCUUGGGCAUUUGAUAAAAAGAAAGUGAAAAUGUUAUCUAAGGCCUUGAUAGAUUUUAUUUUUUGCCUUUUUGAAAUGAUAGGUAGCUAGUUGUUUUGCUGUUUCAGUGUGCGUUAAUAUUUUAGUUAUUUAAAAUUGUAAGAAAGGUAAGAUUUCAAGGGUAGUUUUGGAAUUGUAAAAAGGCAUCGAUUCAUAAACACUAUAUUAGACAACAUACAUAGCAGACCUAGACCAAGAAACAGAACUAGUUGAACAACAGUUUCUUAAGCUAAAGUUUGUUUGAGACUCGUUUGUUCCACUCUUGUACAGCAAAAAAUGUUUGUUGGGAGGCCAUUUCACCACAGAUAGCGUAUAUUCAGACGUUAGAUGUGCUAGACCAAAGGAGAUCUAGACGGGAUUUUUUUUUUGUUGUACGAAGAAUGAUGGUGAGUAGAGACAAACAGCUGUUUUCUAUCCGUAAAAAACUAUUUAAUGAAGCCGAAGAAACUAACAUAACGCGACAAGUUAAAAAUGUUAUAAAAGACCUAAAUGAUAAGGAGGAGACAGUAACGGCACAAAGUCAAAAUAUAUUUGAAGAAUGAGGGGAUGAAAGCUGCAUAACAGGAAUACGGAGAAGCAUGAAACACCUCAAUUGACAGUGUGAAAUUAUUUCCAGGGGUUUGAAUGCAGAAAAACAAAAUGAGAGACACAACAUCAUUAGAAAUGUAUUUGUUCGUGAAGUACAUUAGUCUUAAGUCAUGAAAUAAAAAAAUACUGUAAAGAAAAGGAGGAAUGUAGUGUCCACACUACUACAAAUAAUAAUAUCUUGAGUGAAUACAUCUUAGAGUGCAUGCUGUCACUCAUGCGUAGGUAAACAAUACACAAAUAAAUAUGCUCAGUUCUAUUCAGACCAACGCCGCGUGUACACGUCUCUCUUGUGAUGCAUCCGAAGACCACUUUCCGACAUUACACUCCUGACAAAAUGGAUUGAGAAAUAUUCAAUAGAAAUUUAUAAAGAAAUUGACUAAAAAUUUGUCCGGGGUUUCCGUUAAAAAUUGAAAAGACAUUUAAUAGAAAAUUUUACUGGAAAUUGAAGGAGCUUAUCAUAAAAUUUCCUCUAAAGUUUCUUUAGUAUUUUUUAUUAGAAUAUUCUCUUGUAUGCCAGAGUAAUGUGGUAAAUUAUUUUGAAAGGUCUUCAAAACCUUUCCUUAUAGUCGCGUUAGAACAAGUUUUUGUUAAGUGUUCAUUCUACAGGUAUGUUCCGUUUUUAUCAACACGGUCCGCGAUUUUCAGUUGACAAAAACGGAAUAGUGAUAAAAACGGAAUAAUUUUCUUUGACAAAAUAUUUUGCAACAUUUCUAUAUGAAUUGGAAGAUUUACUGUAGAACACAUUCCAAAAUCAAAAAUACGCAGUUUAUUAUGAAAUUUAAUUAUUUUUUGUUGCUUUUAGCACAUCUUGCACAGUUCAAAUUACAUUUUUGUGACUGAGACGUCAACAAGAGGUUUUCACUACAUUUUUGGAAAUUAAUUUUCGUUGAACUCAAGAAUGAUACAUAUUACAAUAUUUAGUAUCCAGAUCGACGUUUUAGAAUAUGACAUGCUUGCAGGAAUGAUUAAUCUCCAGGAACGUAAUUUCGAUAUCCUAACAAAAAAGGGUAUGUUUUUAUUUUUUUUCCGGAAGGCAUUUCUCCACGAUUAUCAUCUUAACAGAUUCCUAUGAAAGUUUCGUCUAGCAUAGUUUUAGGAAAUCUCCAGUAACUUUUCUAAGUAAUCAAUUGUAUUUUCUCCAAAAUAUUGGAUUCUCCAAGAAGUUCCUCCAGAAUACUUCUAGGUUACCUUGCACCAUGCCGCUUGUUUGGAAUUAAAAAAAAAAUAGAGAAAAGAGGUUCUGCCCCUUAUGUUUUUUUCAGAAAUUUCUUCUCGGAUCAACCUAGAUGUCUCUUUUCAUAUUUCUCCUGGAGUUCCUUUGGGGGAUCCUUCAAAUAUUCCACCAGGAAUUGGAAUUUAUUAACCAUGCAUAUGCAUUAUGUUGGGAACAGCUCGCUGACGUAAUGUACGGUUUGGGUCUGGAAUGGCUCUAAUACACAAGGUGGGCUGAGAAAAUCAUUCUGGGAUUUCUCCUAGGCCCUAGACAUCCUGUUGAAAUUCAUCCAAGAGUUGCUUUGGAGAUUCACCCAGAUUUUACUUUUGUAAUAUGGGAGUUUCUUCGUUUUUUUCAAAAUUUCCUAAGGGAAUUCUACCAAGAUUACUUUCUGAAAUCCCUCCAAAACUUUUUUCUGAUAUUUCUCCAGGAGUUCUUUUUAGGGUUUCUCCAGAUUUUCGUUUUGGGAUUCCUCCACCAGUUUUUUAGAAUUUCUUCAAAAGCUCUUUCUUGAAUUCUUUAAAGAUUUUCUUAUGAUAUUUUUGACUUUGUUUUGGAAUUUAUGCGCAGUACAAAAAUCUACACCUACUGGAAUUAUUAUUAUGAAUAGUUCUAAUAGAUUUUUUAAGAGAAUUCUAUCUUUCACUUUUUGUUAUUUCCCAAUGAUUACUAGAUGAACUACCCUUAGGCUGGAAAUCUCGUUAAUAAAAAUAAUAUAACAAUGAUAACUGUCCCCGAUUUCUUUCUGCGUUUCCUGGUGAUCUCCCAGAAGCUUAGUCUAUUAAUCUUCCAAGAAUUAUUUCCUCAAAUCCUCCAGAAGUUUCUUCAGGGAGUCCUCCUGAUAUUCUGUAUAGAAAUCUCCGGAGAGUUAUUCCUGAGAAUCCUCCAGAAGUCCCUUGCGGGAAUCCUUCAGAAAUUCCUUCUAGGAAUCCUGCAUAAAUUCUUUCAAGAAAUCAUUCAAUUGUUCUUUGAGGGUUUACUUUCAGAAUUGAUGGGAUUUCUGUAGGAUUUUUUGGGAAUCUUUAGAUACUUCUUGGACCCCUUCAGGAGUUGCUGGAGGAAUCCCCAGAUCGUUUUCCAAGAUCCUAGACUCCUUUUUCUUAGAGAAACUUAUUUCUGAAAGACUUAACUCCUAAUUCACCUAAAGGAAUUUCUGAAUUAUUUCCUGACGAAUUCUCAGAAGAAAUCCAUUAAGGAAUCUGGAGGAAUACAAGAAUCACUAGUAGGAAUUACUGAAGAAGACCAAGAUUGCAUUUUUGGAGCAAACGAAAGAUGAAAUCUCGGAUACAAUUCUAUAGGAAUCUCCAGUUAGGCUGGUGAAUAUAGCUGUUUCGGUCUGGAAAAUUUGGACAGGGUAUCAAGGAUGUCCCGUCGGAAGGAAAUAGUGACCAGGAGAUAAGAAUUCAGCAUAAUUGUCGCAUAAUUUCAAAAAAAUCGUGUAAAAAAUCACGAGAAUUUGGUACGUAAAGAAGAAGAAGAAGAAGAAGAAGAAGAAAGGAGAAGAAGGAUCUUCUAAAGGAAGUUCUUGAAGGAAUACCCAGAUGGACAUCCUGGAGCAAUCCACCAAUUGUGUCCUAAAACAAUAGGCUAAUGACAUAAAAAAAAAAUGUUCGAUUACCCAUGAUGACUUUUUCCUAUUGCCGGAUAAUCGAAUCCGUCCUUUGAUGGUUUUAUAUGCACAUCCCAUCUAUUAUUGAUCUAUCAUGAUUAGCUACUUAUGUUACACUUGGAAAAUGAUUGAGCCAUUUUACAAAACGAUAAAAUUGUUGAUGAUCAUAUUAUUGAUAUUCACGUGUUACCUCCUGCCACCUCCUGUUAGAUUUUCUUUAAUUAAAUAGACCAUUCCCGUGAAAUUUUUUUAUGUGCUCUACGGCUUUCUGUCAAUUUAUUGAGCAAACUUUUCCAAGGAACCCAUAUGUUUUGAAGCCUCUAACUAUUGAAAAACAAUGAAAAACCUGCGAAGUAGCACUUUUCCCCUUUUUCUCCUAUUUAUUAUUUCACCCCAAUUUCCAUCAAACCCCUUUCUCCGCUAUGGCUCGACCGCAGUGAUGUGGUGAGUUUCUGCUCAGCGAACUGUCAACGCGACUGUCAAACGAUUGAUUUGUUUUGGUUUGCUAUUUCGUCGGUGUGUCGCGGGCAAGUUUUUGUAAAUCGGUUCCGAAAACUCGAAAUCGCAGUAAAAUCGAAUGGUCCCGCGGAUUCCUCAACGCGAAAAGUUUAAUCAUAGUAAUGACUGAACGUCGACUCUGAACUCUCGGGCCAUGGAAGUAUUUUGCAGCGUGUGCAUGUUAGUGAAAAAAACUAAACGGUAGCUAGUGGAUGAGAAGCAACUAGAAAAGGAUCUUCGGAGGCAGUUAGAUUUAUUCGACGAACUCUCUAUUCCGGAAGUACCAGUACUCGGUGGUACAGGUUGCGUUAAUCCGAAAAACGGUGGUGCUUUUGUCAGCUGUGUUGGGGCGUCAUUGCCGUGAUGACGAUGUAAACAUGUUGGGAAAAGUUUUUCGCUGAUCCGCUGAUUCGUGUUCAGGAAAUAAAAACGGCAUCCUGCACCAACAGAACAUGCUAUAGUACGGGUCGCCUUUUUUUUUAAGUAGAAUCGGUAUUACCGUUGACCGCCAAUCCGGUUUCAGUGCGUGAUCCGGACACUUCAGUGUGUAGAAACUGUGCCGCAGUAGCGACAAGUUCCGGAAACCUGCGAAAGCUUCAGCUGAUCAACUUUUUGUAUACCGUAAGCCCCGAGGAGUAAACUAGAACAGAAAAAUGACAAGGAAACAAUCCUGGAAGAAAUCGACUGUGUUGUGGCACAGUAGUUGACAGAUGUCCUACGCGACGCCUCAGGUGGUCCUCCUGACGAAUAUCAAACCACUGGAAAAGAACUUUACGAUCUGUUAUUCCGGAACCGAUGGAUCUGUCAUCCAGAACGCCCUUCGCAGGAAGAAGCUACAGUAUUAACGAAAAAUAAUCAUCGACAAGACAAUCGAAUGGUGGAAACGGUUCCUAUUGGUGCUGCCGCCUAAAGUAGUCCUUAGCUGCCAACCGAAUCUAAACAAGAGCACUGAACAGCAAUGCAACACCCCACCGCAGAUCUAUAUUGUGAUGCUUUGUUGUGAUGAACCGGUUGAGCACGAACCUUCUGAUCGACAUGAAUUGGAGCAUGGAUCCAUGCCCUUCCCUCCCUAUCCUUCCGGCUUGGCUACCUUCAGGAUGCAGGUACUUUACAUGGCAGCUUGCACGUGGUUCACCCUUCGCAGUCACACACCGCCAAACAUCAUCGGACACGGUUAUACUGUAAUUGGUCUUUGUCUUUUCAAGCCAUGAUCGACCACAGUUAGCCCAGCUCAGUGAGGAAAUAUGAUAGGACCGGGGUAAGAAUAGCACCCCUCAGUUUUAUUACUUAUUUACCUAUAAUAGGUACAAUGCAUUUUGUCUAAACAACUUCACAAUCAUUUAAAAUAAAGAAUCUACGGUGCGGGAAAUAAAUAUAAAGACAGAGCCGAUUUCCAUACAAAAUAAUCAUGGUGAGGGAUCCAAAUCUCGGUUUCUAGCGAUUCGAUUGUGAUGAAAUUUUGCCUGCAACCUUAAAAUAAUUCUAGCUUGUAAUAUAAAUCAUCAUCCAUGUAAGUAAA